Ruditapes philippinarum (Manila clam) is the source of this 1975-nucleotide long non-coding RNA. RefSeq lists it as uncharacterized. NCBI's taxonomy places the organism in Eukaryota, Metazoa, Mollusca, Bivalvia, Venerida, Veneridae. The record is from RefSeq and is a predicted model, not a curated record. The transcript is spliced from 3 exons.
AAGAGAACAGAUGCUGAAAGCAGGAUGUCUUAUUAUUACGUAGACGCAAAUUCAAGUGCAGAACCAGACAGCCAAGCAAUAUAUGAGAGUAUAUAAUGGGGAGCAGGGACAUCUCACACAAAAGCACGAUCGAUAAAACUUAUUGGUAGACUUGAAAGAUAUAUGUCCGCAGUUAUGACUCGUAUCGCCUUGCCAUAUUAGCGACAGUUAUAAACCUUCUGCAGUUUCAGAAAAUAUAACAGCAUCAUCUGCAAAUAAUAACAAAUAUAUGGAAAUUUGAUCUAAUGUAAUACAUGCUGUUUGAUCAUGCUGUAAGGACAUUUCAACAUCAUUCAUAAAUAAAGAAACGAGCAAUCAUAGAAAAGUUAUUUCCCCUUGUAAUAGUCCAAUAUCACAGUUGAAAAAAUCUGAAAGAUUAUUCAUAUUCAUUGAUCAAGUUGCAUUUUUGUAAGUGAAAUAUUAAACACUUCUCUUCUAUUUUUUAUACAUUUGUUUAAAUAAACUCCUUUUUCAAUCUUAAGGAAAUUGAAAUAUAUUUUCAAAUGCUUGCCGGCUCUUAAUCUAGAUGUUAUAAAAGUCUUCUUUUCGGAAUAACUGAUUUCCAAAGUGUCACUAAAGCCGGUGUUUUUGGCUUUAAAGAUAUUUUACAUUUUCAUAAUCUCUCAGGUACUUUUUGUUUUCAUUGCUUCCUUUUCAACUUUCAUUUACGUAUUUUAUUAUCUUUAUCACUUGUAUAUUAAUAUCUGGUGUCAAUAUAUAAUUUGUGUUGAGUUUUUAUUGUGAUUCUUUACGGAUAUCGUAAUAAUUAGAAAUCUUAAUAGUAUUUAAUUUAAAAAGAUGUUUUAUGUAUUUUGAGAUUUGACAAGCGAGCUUUAGUGGGAUAUAAAGUUUUUUUUAUGAAUUCUUGUACUUCGAGAACACUUUCGUAAAAUGUUAACAAAGUAACACAUUUAAUUUAAAAAUAGACGCGGUAUGAAUACAUCUGCAGAUGCUAUUCAAAUUGAAAUUGUCACCAAUGUCAUAAAAAUGUUUAUAAUUUCCGUAGCCAGUUCUCAGCUGGCGUGGAAAUUAAAUUGUAUUUACUGCAAUUAACACUACUAACUAUGAACCGACUCCAUAGCUAAAGCGAAUCGCGACUACAAUAGUUUUAUUUCAUCUUGGCGAGUUUGCCAUUUUGUGCGUUCUUUAAAAAGGGGUAGUUUUUUUUUCUUUUUUUUUUUAAACUUUGAUAUGUAAUAACUGAUUGAUACUGUUUAAAUUUAUAUAGAUAUAUAUGAUUAUCUAUUUUAAAGAUAUUACAAAAACAUUCACAAUUUCUUUUUUUAUUUUAUUUUUUAACAAGGCAAAAAUGUAAAGCUUAAGGCAUUUCCAUACUAUAUGGAAGUUUUGUGCGUUUUAAUUUUAUGUUCACUAGCUGCUGAAAACAUUGAUCAAAUUUUACAUUUUCGCUUGCAUCAAACUUAAAGUAAAAAUGCAGUGAUACAUGCUAGACAAUAAAUACUUUAUUGUUAAGAAAAACCAUAGAAAAGAAAACAUAUUAAGUGCAUACUCGUAUUUGUUCAAAGUUCAUUUUAAUAGUAAAUGUAUAUUUUUCAAUUAUUCAUAAUUGGUUUAAACAAUAUUUAUUUCUUCAUCAAUAUCUACAGACAAAAUUACAAUAUAUAAAUUGCUUUCAGGAUUGAUUCAAUGAUUCAUUUGUGUAACAAUAAGUGCUUGUUUUUUUUAAAUACAUAUAAUAGUUAUAACAAAAUGUGCAUAUUUUAGAAGUUGCAUUGAAAUUUUUGUAUGUUUGUACAAUAUUUUAUUAAAAUAAAUACCACUUCAAUAAUUCUGAUACUACACUACUGGUCUUGUGUUCUGAAUAUAUGUCUUAACCGGCACUGUCCUGCAAGACGAGACACGUAUAUGUUUGUACACUGCUGAGGAGCAGACAUUGCGUCACCUUAAGUGCAACAACGUAAUAAGUCCUUAUAAA